CAGGGUGCCAAGUUGGAGAGCACCAGCUUUAUCUACCCACCGAGUGGGAGUGGGCAUAGGCCAGGGAGUGGUAGGGCAGGCUUCCCUCCCAUGCCGCCCUGCCCGUGUGCCUCAGCCUUGCCCUGGAGGGACUCUGUCCCCAGGAGGUGAGGAGUUUACUCUCCAAGGCCUCUCUGGUCUGAGCUUUC
Molecule: small RNA, 188 nt
Filed under: Chrysemys picta bellii (western painted turtle)
Lineage: Eukaryota; Metazoa; Chordata; Testudines; Emydidae
Description: TUC338 (ENSCPBG00000014264.1)
Source: RNAcentral